UGGGCCCGUGCCCGCCAGAGCGCCCUUGAACCCUCAUGAAGAUGGACUGUCUGAGCAUGAUUGAUAAUAAUCAAAACUUUCAACAAUGGAUCUCUUGGUUCCGGCAUCGAUGAAGAACGCAGCGAAAUGCGAUAAGUAAUGUGAAUUGCAGAAUUCCGUG
RNAcentral lists this ribosomal RNA (160 nucleotides) under Penicillium sp. CCF3828. Its description in RNAcentral is "5.8S ribosomal RNA". The stretch from base 75 to 160 matches the Rfam family "5.8S ribosomal RNA", at positions 1 to 86 of the family's 154-position model. From Rfam's summary of the family: 5.8S ribosomal RNA (5.8S rRNA) is a component of the large subunit of the eukaryotic ribosome. It is transcribed by RNA polymerase I as part of the 45S precursor that also contains 18S and 28S rRNA. Lineage: Eukaryota; Fungi; Ascomycota; Eurotiomycetes; Eurotiales; Aspergillaceae. The record is from RNAcentral.